AUAAUUUGCUGCCUUGCUGUGGAGUUGUCCCCAUGUGAGAUUAUUCUGAGCCUGGUCCCUAGCUGUGCACUGGCUGUUUCUUUGUGGUUUGUUGCUAGUGAGGCUCUAUCUUUUGAGAAACUAUCUAGAUGGCAGAGUCUCUGCCUGGUGGGAAAAGGUUUUCAGUGCUUGUCUAUUGAUCUCAUGGUUUUGUUGCAGUGGGAGAAGGAAACAGUGUGCAUGUUUAUAUGCUUAGAAGCAAAGAGAGGUCUCCUUUUCCCUGCUUUCUUAAAGGACAGCUGUAAGCAGCACUUUGAGUUAAACUUGCAGAAAAUGUUAUGGAAUAAAUCCCUCCAGUGACCACCAGCCAAGUAAGUGAAUGCCCUGGAAGUUUUAAUUCUGCACCAGGCUCCUUACCCAGGAGGCUCUCCUUCUGUAGCUGGAUAUUCUAGUCAACACCAGGACUUCUAUGUCAUUCUGCUGAACCAACAUUAUACACUUGCUGUUACCAGACACAAACAGUCUUAAAUGUCACUAGCAAGGGCUGCCUUACUUUUUGAUGACUGACUAUGACAAGUCUAAAAAACCUCCUGCAGCUUUUAUAAAAAUCCAGUAAUGAAAAAUAUCCACAGAUUAUUAAUUAUAAGCAUAUGUGGAGCUAUUACAAGCUCCAGUCAGGCAAAACAUCUUUGCAAACAUUUGUUUUUAAGCAUAUGAGAGACUUAAACCUCUUAAGAUGCUUUGCUGGGUUAAGAUCAAAAUUCCCCAAAGAGUCUAAUGCACACUUAACUGGUCUUUUAAAGCAAAACUAACUUCCUCCAGAUACUGUUAAUAAUGCUUGUACAUUAAAUAAUUUUAAAGUAGUCAUUCUCAUUCUCAAGCACUGCACAUAGAACCCAGUGUAUAAGCAAAUAAUAGGAGAGUUAGAUAAAGCUGACCCGAGAAAUUGGGUUCUGAAGUGAUAAUAUUUCAUCGCUGUACAUGCCAAGCAGCAGAUAAUGCAGUUCAGUGUAUUUUGCUUGUUUCUUUUGACUUGAGCAGAAUGCCCAAGAAGUCUAAGAUUUGGGCUGUUUAUAGACAGUUUUUGUAUCUUUUUGGCAGCAUAAUUUUCUCUGGGGCUGGAACAAGCAACUACCCUCGUUUUGUAAUA
Molecule: long non-coding RNA, 1129 nt
Filed under: Junco hyemalis (dark-eyed junco)
Lineage: Eukaryota; Metazoa; Chordata; Aves; Passeriformes; Passerellidae
Description: lncRNA (ENSJHYG00000004872.1)
Source: RNAcentral